RNAcentral lists this ribosomal RNA (494 nucleotides) under uncultured bacterium. RNAcentral describes it as "partial 16S ribosomal RNA". It matches the Rfam family "Bacterial small subunit ribosomal RNA", at positions 28 to 507 of the family's 1533-position model. The record is from RNAcentral.
GACGUACGCUGGCGGCGUGCCUAAUACAUGCAAGUAGAACGCUGAAGGAGGAGCUUGCUUCUCUGGAUGAGUUGCGAACGGGUGAGUAACGCGUAGGUAACCUGCCUGGUAGCGGGGGAUAACUAUUGGAAACGAUAGCUAAUACCGCAUAAGAGUAGAUGUUGCAUGACAUUUGCUUAAAAGGUGCAAUUGCAUCACUACCAGAUGGACCUGCGUUGUAUUAGCUAGUUGGUGAGGUAACGGCUCACCAAGGCGACGAUACAUAGCCGACCUGAGAGGGGGAUCGCCCACACUGGAACUGGAACACGGCCACGACUCCUACGGGAGGCGGAAGUGGGGAAUCUUCGGCAAUGGACGGAAGUCUGCCCGAGCAACGCGGCGUGAGGGAAGAAGGUUUCGGAUCGUAAAGCUCUGUUGUAAGAGAAGAACGAGUGUGAGAGUGGAAAGUUCACACUGUGACGGUAUCUUACCAGAAAGGGACGGCUAACUACGUG